GGGAGCGGACGGUGUAGAUGGUGUGGAUGAACCACUCCCGACCUGCAGCCACCUGGAACAUCCAGACACAGUGGAGCUUGAGUUUACAGACCAGAUGUAAAUAUUGUGUCGUUCCUGGAAGCUGUUGCCGUGGUGAUAACCAAAAGAUACCUGUGUCGGGGGUGCGUGUGUGUCAGCUGACCUGGAAGAGAGGCGAGGAGGACAGGGCGAAUCCGUCUGAACCAGGCUGUCUGACCAGAGGCAGGCCUCCAGGAGUGUCCAGGGCCAGAGUGGCACCAAACAACACAUCUCCAAACGCUGUGGCCUGGGUCUCUGGCUGAGCCUUGUCCUGAGGAGGAAAACACACACCGGUGACUAUAGAUGCCACCACCCACCAUACGCCCAACAACCCCACUCACCAUCGUCGCUGUCGGCCAGGAUGGUGACCAUCGCACUGGGGAAGGUGGCUCCCACCUGGCCACCCAUGGGCAUGCUGAGGGUCACGUUGAAGCUCUCUUCCUCCUCGUAGAGCGAAUCGUCGAUGAUGAUUAUGCGGCAGGGCUUCUCCCUCUGGUCCUUGUCGAAGCGGAGCAUGCUGGUGUGGUCCUCGGGACGCGUGAUGUAGUCGCUGUAGGAGAGGACCGUGCUGGGGAUGGUGCCCGUCGCACUGGCUGUUGGCAGACGACCAUGAGUUCCUGGCUGAGGUCUCCAGAGCGGCGAACAGGCACCAGCAGCUCCCCAAUGUCCUCCUCUAUCUUAUACUCUGCCUGGGGGAUGAACACAGUGGACUCUGCAGAGGAAAGAGGGAGAAACCAUAGAAUUCAGAAUUAGAAUUGUAAUUUAAUAGGAUCUCUAUGGGAGAAACACAGAGGAUAGGCCAAAGAGAACAAGAGAAGAAGAGUUUACAAGCCCAGGGUCCACUAUCUCCACAGUGGCUGUAUCGGGGUACUCCAGCACGGCCAUGACAGGCUCCGACAGCUGGAUCUCAAAGGUCUCGCUGGUCUCAAACUCCAGGUCCGUGAAGAUCUUCACCCUCCAGGUGGCCACUGUCUGGCCUGGGUUGAACUGGACCUGCUUCUGGGCCUUGCCCCGGAAGUCCUUGUCCUUCUCCGCCGUGCCAUCCUUGGUGGUGAUGCCUGAAUAGAACCAUAUCGAACUGAACUAAAUAGAACCUCAUUUAAUUACAUUUAAUUGGAAUUUAGCUGAGGUAUCCCCUGCGUCUGAGCGUCACCUCCAGGAAUUUGGCGUCCUCAUCCACCAGAUAGUACUCCUUCUCCAGGCUGAUCCACGACCAGUUGAGCCGGAAUGGCUGCGGCUUCAGCUUGUUUCCACCUGGAAGACAAAACUUUGACAUCAGUUUUUGUAAACUCAUUGAGCCCUAUGACAAAAUACAGAUAUUUUAAAUUGUGAAGAUUAACUUGAUAACUUAAUGUUAGGGCUUACCCCCAAAUCCUCCAUCACAGGCCUCUUGAGUGAUGCCUUGUUUCUAAUUUCCUCUCUCACUCCAUUGUUCUCUCUCUCUCUCUCUCUCUCCCCCCACUCUCAGUCAGUGCCUGGCUAGGGUUUCUCACCUCCUCACCCAGAUAUGUGUGUCAGUUCCCUGGCUCCUUUGGCAGGGUUGCCUGCCCCUGGCUAGACUCUUACCUCCUUACCAGUCUCAGGGAAUGGGCCAAAACAGGCCAGAGAGAGAGACCAGAUUUAAAUGGAUCACUUGCUGACAGUGACUCAUAGCUACUAUAAGUGACGGUCUGUUCAAGGGAAUCCCUGUCUCUCUUUGUCUCUCUUUGUCUCUCU
Molecule: long non-coding RNA, 1773 nt
Organism: Oncorhynchus masou masou (cherry salmon)
Lineage: Eukaryota; Metazoa; Chordata; Actinopteri; Salmoniformes; Salmonidae
Exons: 6
Source: RefSeq, a predicted model, not a curated record